GGGGAGGAGAAUUAUUGAUUCAAAGGACCUUAGAGCUCAAAAGGUCCUGAGAGACCAUCAUAACCACCCUCUUUAUUUUACAGAUACAGCUUCUGAGGAUCACGGGGAUGAAAGGCAUGAACUGGGCUCACACAGCUAAUGCAUUAGGACACCAGAAAAGGAAGAAAAGACAGUGGCAGCUGAAGACAUUUCAGGAAUGCUUCACUGAGAACCUAAGUCUUGUUCUGGGCCAUAAAGAAAAGGGGAGGGUGUGGUUUCUAUACCAGAGAUAAGAAAGGAGAAAAUUGGACGUGGAGGAAAGAUAUGAGUACCAAUCCGAGCGAACAAGGAAGAUGAAAAAGGUGCCUGCUUCUCCUUCUGCCAUGAUUAUAAGUUUCCUGAGGCUUCCCCAGCCAUGCGUAACUGAGUGAGGACCUAGAAUUUUAAUGUCUAAUAUGCGGUGUGAAUUAAAGAAGCGGCCUUGCUAUGCUGACCUUUUCAAUAUUCUAAUCUUUGCUUUGCUGACCUCUCAGGCCUCUUCCUGGCAACAGUUAGGCUUUUGAGAGGAGAGAGAGCUGAGACUGUUGGCUCCUUCCCAUUUAUGAGAGAGCCACAUGACAUCAGCCCAUAGACUGUGGAGAGUAUUCCAGAUCUAUCACAUUCUGCGAUUCUGCGAUUCCCAGAAGGCUGGUCAUGAAAAAAUUCCCUCUUCAGUUUACAUAUAUGGCAGUGAUGCACAUUGUUCUUUUGGUUGUGAAAAAUUCGAAGAAGUAGAUGUGGUCCUGGUUGAUGGAUGAACAUUGAGGCCCUCAAGUGCAUAAAGGCACUUCUAGAUAUCUGUUGAGGCCUGGAAGGGGCAAAACAAUUCAGGAAGCAGUUGAAGAUAAAGGGGUUUACCAUGGAAGAGAAGAUCCAGGUGCCUUCAUGGAAAUGCUUGUGGUUGAAAAGAGAUGAAGAUGAGGGUCCCUGGAAAGAGGAAGAACCAGCCAGGAAAAUUAUACCAUUAGCAAGACUGGCAUCAGCAAGUAGUUCGCAGUGUUGGUUGUUCUUGGUUUCGCAGGAUUUUAUAGGAGUUCUGAACACUGGGAAGUCCAAGAGCAAGGCAACAACAGAUUCAACAUCUGAUGGACCUUCUCCUAAAAGUCUUAUCUUCUAAGUCUCCUAAGUCUUGGACUUUUCAAGGCCAAAGAUUUAAAGGCCAAGUGGACCAUACGGGAGAUCUAGUUUCCCAUCCAGACAGCCAAGCUCAUGCAUCCCUGGAUUUGGAUGGAUGGUUUCCCAUGGGGCCUUGGACAGAUUGGACCCAGCACUGGCACAGGGUUGACUUGGAGGAAUAAGCUCCUGGAAACCUCAAUUAGCGUUUGGGGUAUGAACAUUAAACAAUACUGAAUCUGGAAACAAUACAUCACACAGCGGGUCCAAGGAAAUAAGCAGAAGGCUGGCAGCAGGCCAGGGCCAGGGGCCAAAUCGCUCCUCAAAGACAAUUCUUCAUGGAGAAAUGACAGCAGGUUUGAGGACAGCAGAAUUUCGCUCUUGUUGCCCAGGGCUGGAGUGCAAUGGUGCAAUCUCGGCUCACCACAACCACUGCCUCCUGGGUUCAAGCGAUUCUCCUGCCUCAGCCUCCUGAGUAGCUGGGAUUACAGGAAGUACAAAAACAUCCUUGCCGUUUGCUGGAAUGAUGUACUGCUGAAGGCAAUGGACACUGGGGUUGUUUGUCCCUAAUCACAAGUGAGCAAUACCAGAUCUAUUAUCUCAGGUUCAGAGAAGUGAGGUGUCUGACCUUCAGACAGGAUUGAAUGCAGAGUAAAAUAAUUCCAAAUAUGGUCUGGGCAUUGCAUGUAAUACAGAGUAAAAGUUAUUGUAAGACACUUUCGCCAGUUUCUGUCACUUGGUUCCUCAAAUGUUUAGUUCAUUCUAAUUACAUAAUCAGCCUUCUGAUUCAAUGAAGACUGAUGGGAUUGCUGACUUGCCACCCUGGAGUUCAGUUGGCAGCAAGUGAGGGAAAAGGUGAACUCUGUAAACAAGGUUUAGAAGCCCUUUUCUUAACUCUUUAUAAAACAGAGAAGAUGAGGAAGGAGAAAGGCACUGUCAUUAAGCUCUUAGCCAGGGAAUUACACAUACACACACGUGUGUGUGUGUGUAUUUCAACUCAAUGUACAAGGACUUCUCAGCCCAUAGCUACUUUGAACACAUUGUUUAUCCCCCAUAGCAUGAAGGACUAAAGGAACCAGAGAUUUCAUAAUCUCUGGCCUGUAACGUUUUUGCUGAAAUAUCUGCUGUUAUUCUAAUGGGGUUUCCUUUAAAGGUGACUAGUCACUCUUCUUUUGCUAAUUAAUUUUUUUUUUCACUUUGACUUUAGACAUUCUGAAUAUAAUAUGCUAUGAUGAAGCACUUUAUGCAAUGUAUAUUCCUGAGGAUUGCUGGGCCUCCUGUAACUAGAUGUCUGACUCUCUUGCUAGAUGUGGAAAGUUUUCAUCAAUUAUUUUCUUAAACAGGUUUUCUAAGCUUUUAAAUAAUCUUUCUUUCCCAUCAGGAAUACCAAUAAUUUCUAAUUUCAGUCACUUUAUGUAGUCCCAGACAUCUCAAAGGCUUUGUGCACUCCCUUUUAUACUUUUUUGUUGUCGUUAUCUUUGUCUUACUGGAUUAUUUCAAAAGACUUAUCUUCAAGUUCUGAGAUUCUUUCUUCUGCUUGAUCUAUUCUGUUAUUGAAGCUUUCAAAUACAUUUUGCAUUUCCUUCAAUAGUUUUUUUAGGUUUAGAUUUUCUGCUUUUGCUUUAUAAGAUACCCAUCUCCUUGAUACAUUUCUCAUUAAUAUCCUGAGUUAAUUUUCUAAUUUCUUGAAGUUGGCCCAAGGGUGGAAUGCAGCCCCGUGUUAAACUCUCAAAACUGUGCCUUGGGCCUGUGACCAGACAGAGCAGAUUUCUUCUCAAGUAAGUAGCAUAGAAAAGAGAGAUCCAAAUAAACACAAUCAUAAAUGAAAAAGGAGACAUUAUAGCUGAUAACACAGAGGCACAAAGAUCAUCAGAGACUAUUAUAAAUAACUAUAUGAUCACAAACC
RNAcentral lists this long non-coding RNA (3037 nucleotides) under Homo sapiens (human). RNAcentral's name for it is "HSALNT0250469". Lineage: Eukaryota; Metazoa; Chordata; Mammalia; Primates; Hominidae. The record is from RNAcentral.